CGCCGUAGCAUACCUGUACCGCGAUUACCAGCACAUCUAACCGGUGACCAACACUAAUUGCGACCGAGAGCGGAAUGGCUCGUUGUAAGAAAGGAACAGGCCAGCAGGAAUAAGGAGAGCAAAAGAAAGGAGCGUUGUAAGGAGAUGUACCAGGUAUAUAAAGAAAGAGCUAACGAUGGAUGAAAAAGGAGAUCGACGAGGAUAGUGGCUAGUUACACGAGGAGUAGGACACGAGCAAGAGAGCGUAGCGUGGCACGACACGGCGGCAUAUCCAUAGACAUAUACACUGUGUCUAUGGGCAUAUCGACGAGAACCGAGGCUGGCCGAGCACGACCGAACAGGGCCGACUUGGACCCUGCGCGCUCAACCCAAACCCGAGGAAGCAUAGUUGCAUUUAAACUGCCAUCCCACCGAGGUCUCUCUUCCGUGCUAUCCGGAGUAGUCUGCUGGCUGGGUCAGCAGCACUCGACGAGUACGUGUCGUCCGCGUACCUACGUUUCGUACACCCGCACAAGUGUCACACGAGUAUCGCGCAACCCUCGACGUGCCUCGGCUACGUUUCUUUGUCCGUGUUUCCGACGAAACGUGUACUCGAGGAGGGUUGAUACACACGAGGACAGGGAUUUUUUUUUCUACCAGGACAAAAGGAAGGAUAGGAUGGUUGCCGGGUAUCGGGAUCGGUACGAACUUUGUGCAGACGUGUUAUUUGAUUGAUCCUAUGGUGUUCGGGUACGGGUUGCUCCAGUUGAAUGGACUGACCCCGGAACUGUCAGUCGCGCUGCCAAUCAGCUGCUUCGGACCAUUCGUGUGGAAGUGUGCAUUUUCCUCGACGCUUCUGUUGGAAAUCAUUUUUUAAUCGUUCGACGAUCAUUUCGAAAUGUUGGUUCAUAGACUGUGUUUCCGGUCUCCUUUGUCCCCUGGACUGGGUAACUUGUUGACUGGACACGUUGAAAUUUCAAAGCCGUUUCCAUGAAAAAAGAAACACACACACAUAACGGCCAAUCUUCUCGUCCUCCCACCGUGAAUCCUUGAUAGCUUUUCGCACAGCUAUCCCGAGCGAGUAACUUGUUGACUUUUCUCCCGGGGGCAAGUGGCGACGAUUCCAGCCAUUAUGUAAAUCGAAUUUGAAUUUCUACCGUAUUUCUGCCCUGCGUGCGUGCACUUUUUAUGGUAAAUUAUUGAAAUAUCGAGACAUAGGUGGAUAUAGGUAUAUGGAUCGAUAGAAUGAGUCGUUUCUCGAUCAAACCUGAUGUAAUAUUUCUUAAUGCAACGUCGUCAUUGCAGUUAUUGAUCUUAUCGAAAUCGUUUCUUUACGCUGUUACGUGUCAAAGGAGUUCAUUACUCCAGUUAAAUUACCUUCGUUAUGGGGAAUUUCUAAAAAUUCUGUCCUCCAUUAAUCUUUGCCACUUGGUUCGAGGCUUUUCUUAAUAGGGAUGCAUUGCAAGAAUAGAUCCCGAGAAUUCGCUCUUACAUUGCAUUUUUCUCGUCGCUCUACCGAUUGGUCCACGAAUGGCAUCGAAACGCUGUUGCUACGUGCUUCACAAUGGGGCCAGCUUUUAAAGCCGAUAUUACGAAACGAAGUGUUCACCAUAAGUGAGAAAAAUGAUAAAAAGUCGAGGGCAUCACAGCAAUAAUAAAUAUUAAUUUUCUAAUUAUGAAUCAAUUGCAGAAAAAAUCAAAUUUUGCUAAUUGUAAGUUAAUGGCAUAUUCAAAUUAAUAGAUAUUUCAGUUUGUCUAAAGAAUUUAUUGAAAAUCAUUGUUUAAUUUAAGAACAAAUUAGUCGAGGAUGUUGGAAAAGUGUUAUGGUAGUCUUAAAUCUGACAAAUUAACGCAACAGCCGGUUCAUCGAUAUUCGGACCAGUCAGAGGGUGGCAGCGACGCGUUCAAUAUUUAACUUCUCGUUCCAGUUGUACCAGUUUGAGGGUCAUUCCAGGGCCCAUCCUUUCCCUUCCGCUCGAAGCGUCGCUCAAACGCGAAUUAUCGGCUUGCCACGAAACUUCUACCCCUCUUUCGCACCUCUGAAUAUCCGUUUUCAAGCCUUUCGACCCAUUUUUCUCAUCCCCCUAACCCUCGAGCCUACAAAAUUCACGAAUAUUAACGAGAUAUGUGUGAUUAAAGGCAGUAAACUAUAAAUAGAUCACUCGAGUUGCUUUAAAAGUUUGUGUCAAAGAUGAUUGAUUCAUUCGAAGGUUAUUUAUUUUUAUAAAUUAUAUUUAUAAUCAAAUCGAAGGGUAACAAGGUAUCAUUUGCAGGAGUGGUAGAUAAUUUUUCUAAGUAUAUGAUAAUGAUGUAUACCAUAAUAUAAAUUACCAAGAGAUAUUUUAUUCCCCUGGAUACAUAGAAGGUUGUUCGAUAGCAAGAGGACAAAUUGCAAUCCCAAUUCGCAGCUUCUGUAAUUACCGGCUGAUACCUGGUUCCGUGUCUCCGGCUCGUUGGCCGCGAUCAAAAGCUAAUUUCUUACUCGGCGUAAUAACACGCUCCCAACGCUUGUGUACAUACAUAGCCGGCCACUUUUCUGCAACUAUUACCGCAAUUAGCCCGCCUCGACCUGCCCGAUAGCUUCAACUGUUGCACGCGAGAGAAUUCGCGACGAGUCGACGCGAUUCGUUACGCGUACCUGUCGAUUAAUUAACCGUUCAACCGCGAGUCAAUCUUGCUCUAUUUCUAUUCAAACUUUCCAUUAACUUGAUUACUACUUUAUCGAUUAGGGGUCUUUAAAUUGGUAUUUCCUGGGUUGUGGAGGAAAAAUUAAUCCAAUGUGAUCUUGGACACAAACCUUCCCAUUAAUUCUUCGAAAUUUUUCAAUUAAAAAUCACUUCCCGGUACCUGGCACAACCUGAAAAUUACAAUUCGUCGAACGUAUGAGGAAAUGAACAAAAGGAUUCGGGGGGGAAUUCUCGCGAGUGAACGAGGAAAAUUGAUGAGAAUCGUUUUAGAAGAACUAAUUAUGGAGAACAUCGUUUUUGUAGUUCAACGAAAUUGAAUUUGGAGCAGACAAUAUUGCAAUAAUCACCAUUUUGCCGGACCAUGAACAAUGGAAGAUUCGAGUGACGUCUGGAUGGAAAAAAAAAAAGGAGAAAGAGUCGAAAGUAGGAUGAACCGUGAACGGUCUUGAUUCCUUGGUCGUCAUAGCUGAGUGCAGCUUCGGAGUUCUCUGCGCUCUUCACUUCUUUCUUCCUUCAUUCUCCUCUAUCCGGCACCCUAUUUUCCUAUAGCCCCUCUAAUGGCUCUCGAGGUCCCUGUCUUAUCGGUGACACUCGUCCCACCUGCUUCUGGAUCUUUUCUCAAUGCUUCCAAUGUUCUCGCGGUGACACGGGAACACGAUUGGGGAAAUCGGUGAAAGAAGAACACGAGAAGAAGGGCAUAAGAGCCGAACGUUACGGGCGGGCCUGACUCUUUGCUCUGCCCGUAUCUGGUCGUUUGGGUGAGCAAAGUUUCAGGACUCCGCCAUGUCGAGGAUGACGUCUUAUGAUGACAUUCGAUCUAUAGCCUUGACGUCUUAUGACGACAUCUGUGCUGAGAGUGUUAGGUAAAGUUUUUCUUUAAUUUCAAAAAGACAUGUAGCAUUAAGUGAUAAAAGAAUUCUUUAUUUCAAAAAUUUAUUUACAGGUCAUGCAUGGUCUAAAAUUCUACUGUUCUUUUUUUUCUUAUUACAAAGAAAGGAAUUUAUUAGUGUUUGUAAUGAAUAUAUCAAAUAUAAUGGAAAUUAAAUGUCUGCAGGAAACGGGAAUAAAUAUUUAGGUUGUAACGAAGCAUCCUCGACAGUACUCUUACGCCUGAAAUUUGCUUUUUACCUGGCCCUCGUGCUCUCUUACUUUGAGAAAACAAAGGUGAGCAAAGUUUCAGGUGUGUGAGUGCGUUGGAAUCAGCAGUGAAUCGUGAUAAUGGAAGAACCGUAUGCUGUAUCAUCUUGAAAAAUAAAGUAUUAUUAAACUAUUGUCCUCAACAUAAUAAAUAAAAUUAUUUUGUGUCAAUUAAUGGAUAAAAGAUAUUAACCCAGGGAUUGGGUAGCGAAUAUCCAAUAUUCAGUCGCCUAUAUCGAUAAUUUUAAAUAUAAUAAUGUAAAUAAAAAUCUUAAAAAAUU
Osmia bicornis bicornis is the source of this 4084-nucleotide long non-coding RNA. RefSeq lists it as uncharacterized. The transcript has 4 exons. The record is from RefSeq and is a predicted model, not a curated record. NCBI's taxonomy places the organism in Eukaryota, Metazoa, Arthropoda, Insecta, Hymenoptera, Megachilidae.